Long non-coding RNA from Prunus persica (peach), 671 nucleotides. RefSeq lists it as uncharacterized. The transcript is spliced from 2 exons. The record is from RefSeq and is a predicted model, not a curated record. Lineage: Eukaryota; Viridiplantae; Streptophyta; Magnoliopsida; Rosales; Rosaceae.
AUUUUGGAUUGAGACUAUUGGGUUAAGUGUGUUUAAUUUCAAGUUGGACAAAAAUGCCCUUACGUAACAUUUUGUGAAUUUUUCAAAGAACAUUUAAGAAAUUGAAGUAAGACCAAUAUGAUUCUUAGGUAGGACGAUAGUAGUCGACUCAAUGAACACGUCGGAAAUCGUUUCUAAAUUUUGGGCCAAAAUGACCAAAAUACCCCAAUGUGUGAAAAUUACCAAAAUAUCCUUGUAGGAAAAAAAAAAAAAAAGGAAUCUCAAACAUGGAGGGCAGCAGCCCACUCUCCUCCAAUUCUUUCCCCUUUGCCUUAAGUUUUCAAAUCCACAAUCAUUUUGGAGAUGAGUUGGUAUAUCUGAGUCAUUAGCCUAAGGUGUGAGUUGAAAGGCUACUAGGAGGUGAGUCACCUAGACUAAGAUUCCUCAAUGAUGAAUAUGAUUUUAUUAGAGCUAUACAGAGUUGGAUGAAGUAAGGAGAGAUUGAGCGAGAGAGGAAGAUGAAGAAGCUUGGAAAUGUUUUUGAGUUGGUAUGGAAAGGAUUUAAGACGAAGUUUGAGGAAGCGGGUUUCAACCAAGUUACUAUGCCUUUGUUAUUGAAUUGUGUAAUUAGUAUUUGUAAGUAGUCAACCGUUUAAUAAGGAUUUUAGUAUGUAUUUAACUACGUGCUAUUA